RNAcentral lists this long non-coding RNA (246 nucleotides) under Crocodylus porosus (Australian saltwater crocodile). RNAcentral describes it as "lncRNA (ENSCPRG00005018616.1)". Lineage: Eukaryota; Metazoa; Chordata; Crocodylia; Crocodylidae. The record is from RNAcentral.
UGAAAGUCUAUUAGUUCCUAGCACAUCCACGUGCCCAAAUUACCACACAGUUUGGCAUGGCUAACAGUCCUAGAGUAGAAUUAGGACUGGUAUUACCAGGUUCAGGAGGUUAGUAUUUUAGUGUAUUAGCAGAGCCAUAUGCAGUGUCAGGCAUGGAAGAACCUGGGCUGCAGCACAUUCACACUAAGGUACCUGGGAGAAGUGUGGAAUAGUUACUUGAUAAGGGCUAAACACAAUCCAAUCUGA